RNAcentral lists this ribosomal RNA (738 nucleotides) under Entomoneis sp. RNAcentral's name for it is "partial large subunit ribosomal RNA". It matches the Rfam family "Eukaryotic large subunit ribosomal RNA", at positions 73 to 919 of the family's 3401-position model. The record is from RNAcentral. Lineage: Eukaryota; Bacillariophyta; Bacillariophyceae; Surirellales; Surirellaceae.
GAUUGGUCCAGUAACGGCGAGUGAAGCGCCAAUAGCCCAUAUUGUGAAUCGGCACUUGUGUCGAAUUGUGGUCUGCAGGUCUGCUCAAUCAGCGCUUGGACGAAGUCCCCUGGAACGGGGCAGCAUAGAGGGUGAGACUCCCGUACGUCCUUAUGCAUGAGAGCUGUUCCUCCGAGUCGAGUUGUUUGGGAUUGCAGCUCUAAUAGGUGGUAAAUUCCAUCUAAGGCUAAAUACUGGUGGGAGACCGAUAGCGUACAAGUACCGUGAGGGAAAGAUGCAAAGCCGCGCGAGAGCGCUGUCAAAGAGUACCUGAACUUGCUGAAAAGGAAGCGAAGGAAACCAGUGUAUGUCAACCCGCAUUUUCUCACCCGCUUGCGGCUGAGGCGCUGCGGCUGGCAUAGUCCCCCUUUGUGUUUGGUGGCGGAAGAUCCAUGGCGCCGCUGGAUACUGAGGGGGACGAAAUGGUUUUCUUUUUCCCGUCUUGAAACACGGACCAAGGAGUCUAACAUUUGUGCGAGUACAGGGGUGCCAAACCCCGGUGCGUAAUGAAAGUGACAGUGGCUGGAUAUUUGCACAGUCCGCCGGCCCCAAUCCCUCGGGAGAAUGGUCUGAGUGUGAGCACGUAUGUUGGGACCCGAAAGAUGUUGAACUAUGCCUGAAUAGGGCGAAGCCUGGGGAAACUCUGGUGGAGGCUCGUAGCGAUUCUGACGUGCAAAUCGAUCGUCAAAUUUGGGUAUA